CAACAUUUUCAUUCCCAAAAUUGGUUUGACAGUUCAUUGUCCCAGCAGCUGUGUCGAUGCGUCUACCUAUAUUCUUUUACCAUGGUUUGUACGAUACCCAAAGUAUUCAUGUACCAAUACUUAGUGUUUUUGGUUACUGGUUACCGUUUAUGUAUUCUUUGCUUGUUACUUUAUGUCACUUAUUUGUAGUAAUUUUAAAAGUUACAGCUGGAUGUUGUUUUUAUUAAAGAAUUUACACAAUUCAUUAAAAUGAUCGCUGGACAAAGUUUUAAGAAGUCAAAUUGGUUAGCGGUCACCUCACACCCGUUGAUAAAGCGCUUCGGUGCCGGUUCCGAAUAACCUGAGGUAACUAUUUAAAAAUUUUUUAUCUUCGUUGCCUGCUUGGCCAGAUACUUAAUUAGCUUGUGGGAACUUAUGUCGGCGGAAAUUAUAUGGCCCUUUUCUGGCACAACGGACACUGUCGCAUCAAUCUGCUGGCAAUAAUAGGAAUUUUAGAUGUCGGCACAAAUUUUUAUGACAUAUAGCCGGUUUAAAUAAGGCGACCUUCCGCGUAAACUGUUGGAAGGCCUCGCAAUGGCUUGCAAUCUGAUGGCAUCUUAAAUUGAAGGGACACAACACUUGUUACAAACGACAUUAGACAACACUAUAGCUUAAAAUUACAUCUUUGAUUUUUAUCCAUCACACGCAGCCGUAUAUACCCGUCAAUAAAACUUAAUUUUGUAUUGUUGUUAUAUGCCGACUUUUCUCAAAUGGUCGAUUUUGGCAAACGAAGUGUGUGAUCCGACUACCUGUAUUCUUUUACCAUGGUUACAGCGAUACCUAACAGUGGAACCUAAAUUCGACGCCCUGAGUCGACGAUUUUUACCGCAUAAUUUGAAAACAUGUGCCCCAUAUACACAUUUUGUGCAUUGUUUGUUACGUGCGCCAAGGAGGCGGCUUGGGGAUGUUUCCCAU
This is a long non-coding RNA of Musca domestica (house fly), 954 nucleotides long. RefSeq lists it as uncharacterized. The record is from RefSeq and is a predicted model, not a curated record. The transcript is spliced from 4 exons. NCBI's taxonomy places the organism in Eukaryota, Metazoa, Arthropoda, Insecta, Diptera, Muscidae.